Suricata suricatta (meerkat) is the source of this 4371-nucleotide long non-coding RNA. RefSeq lists it as uncharacterized. NCBI's taxonomy places the organism in Eukaryota, Metazoa, Chordata, Mammalia, Carnivora, Herpestidae. The record is from RefSeq and is a predicted model, not a curated record. The transcript has 2 exons.
GUCUUCUUUGUCUCAAAAGUAAAUGUGGGGGAAAAAAAAGACUAUUCAAACCCUGACUGAUGCUUACCAGCAGUGUUGUGGGUCUAGAGUCACUUGGCCAUACUAAGCCUCAGUUUUCAGAUCUGUAAAAUGCUGACCGUGACAUAUACUUCACAAGAUGGUUCUGAGAAUCCCCUGAGAAAAUGUGGUCACAGCACUGGCACAGUGCCUGGCCCACACUGGGAAAGGAAUUGACGUGUUCCUCGUGAAAGAGAUCCCUAAGUUGGUGACCAGGGCAAAUGCCUACUACCACACUAGACUUUAGGGAAAACAGGCAGCAGGCAUUUGCCCUGGUCACCAACCAGGGGGCUCAAAGUAGUGGCAUACCCCUUUCUUGUUGGCCAAUCUUCCCCAUUUCCUUCCACACAAGAGAGCAUUCUAACGUAGAACAUACAGCUGUUUACUCUCCCCUAACCUCCCAAGUGCCGCCUCUCCUGUCUCCUCUGCAGCGCGGGAGCUGCUUCCUCUCCACGUGUGGUGUCGAUUCUCCCGUCGUGGGGCCCACACUUGGACAGUAGCGAGUGUGUCCAUCUGUUGUGAAGACCUGACCCCUAGAGUGGAUCACCACCCCUUGAUCCCACCUUCAGCAGACAUGUAUUGCUCCUUCACCAUGGGUGCAGAACCCUCUCCUGGAGAAGAAGCUGCCUAAUUUAGGCAGCUGCCAGCCUGGGACUGAUUGCUGGGCCUUUCAGGAACAAGGGAACAUAUUUAAUUAUACUUUUCUCUGCCUCUAGAGUCUUGUUAGCAGAUUUGCUACACGUGCAUUUUACAAAAACAUUUCCUACACCAUAGUAAUGAAAUAAUAGCAGCUGUCAUUUACAGGAUACCAAGCAUUGUAAAUAUCCCUAACUCUUACCAUAAACUUGCAGGUUAGGUAUUUCCCCCAUUUUACAGAAGAAAAAAACGAGAAGACUCUUGGAGAAGUAAAGAAACAAACCACAAGGUAAUUUCAGGGAAUAAGUUUUGGAAAGGCACAGAAGAUUGGAUAAAGGUACCUAUACAGAGUGUCUUCCUUAAGCUAUUGGGCUCUCCGUUGUAUGGCAUUAGUCUGGUAGAUAGAAGCAUAGGCCUCAAUUCAAAUCCCAGCUCAGCCGUUUACAGGCUAUAUGACCUGGACAUGUUUCCCAACCUCUUUAAAUUGCAGCCCUCUCAUAUGUAAAGAGUGCUUUACCUCUUCGAGUUAUUCUGAGGAUCAAAUGACUUAAAACUUCCAAAAGUCUCAUAAACAUUAGCUAGUAUAUCAUUUAAAUAUUCUAAUUGCUGCGAUCAAAAUGUCUCACUUUCCAGACUUAUUCUAUAGACUUGGCUCUUUAAUUUUAAAUCAUGUCACAUUCCCAAUUCAGAAGAUGUAUGAUGUAUUUGGUAAGUCUUUCCUUCAAGAGAAAAUGACAUUUUAAAUUAGGGGUUGGCAAACUAUUUUUGGUAAAGGGCCAGAUCAUAAAUAUUUUAGGCUUUUCAGGCCAUACGGUCUCUGUCACAACCAUUGAGCCUUGCCUCUGUGGCAUGAAAGCAGCCAUGGACAGGACUUGAACAAAUGGGUGUGCCUGUGUUCCAUUGGAGACUGGAAUGUAACGUUCAAACAAUUUCUCAAGUAUAACAAAAUAAUAUUUCUCUUUGGUUUCAACCUAUUUAGAACUACAAAAGUUGCUUAGCUUGAGGGCCAUAUGAAAAUAGGCAGUGGGCCGUCAUUUGCCAACCCCUGUUUUAAAUAAAUCAGUGGUUCUCUAAAACUAAUGAAUCCAGCAGAAGCCUAAUUAAGAAAAAGCAAUUUGGAGGAAGAAAAUCAAGAGCUGGUCUACGUAUCAACUCGCCCAGAUCAUAGCUACAUUAAUCACUCCCUUGCCUGACACAAUUCAUGCAACUAUUUUGAGCUUAACCUUUCUGUCCAUAAAAAUGAAGGAGUGCUACCUCUCUGACCCAUACCUACUUCCUCCAGGUGAUGGGAGUUUAAUAAUAAUUAUUAUUUAUUGAAUUUAUACCUUUGUACUAGAUAUUCAACUCAUUUUUGUUCUUAUCCUCUUAUUCCUGCUUUACAGAUAAAGCUCAGAGAAGCAAAAAACCUGGUCAGGGUUACAAUACCAGUAUCUACACGCUGGUGCCUGAUUCCAUAAACCCUCUCAGCCCACUCAGUAGAAUACAGACAGCAUGGGAUUGGGGACCUCAUUGGACUCAUUAUGUGCUCCAUCCCCAGUGCCGAUUAGUACCUGAACCACGGUCAUGAGGGAAACAUCCACAGCCCACUGCUCACGAGCCAACCAGAUCCGAGUCCAGAGCAUUACUCGGGGUCCGCCUUCUGCUGCGUCCCUUCUGGUCCUUUACUUACAGCAUCCCAUCCCAUCCCCCGGUCUCCUGUUAAGACAUUGAGAGAGAGGGUUAUUAAUAUUUAGACAUUAAAUUCAGAUGUGACCGAUUUCUAUCUCCUCCUCGAAAGCACCUGCUCUUUACAUAGUUUCACCAUUUACAUCAGGACCUUGAGAUCAUGACUCAUUUCAGGUGAACAGUAAGAUUAAGGGUACUUUGUUUUCACAUGCUAUAUAAACAAAGUCUGUUGCUGAUGGAGACUUAAGAAAACAUUCAGGUACUGCACUCACGUGCUCCUCCCUCUGGACUCCCUUUACUGCAUCCCCCCUCCCCGCCCCAAGGAAGUUACAUUCUAAACCAUGAAUUCUCCUGUUUCACUCUAUUCACACUUCGGUUGUGCCAUGCCAUUUAAUAUUCCCCAUGGCACUUAUUACCAGGGCUCGUAUUCAGCCACAUCAGUUGUUAAAGGUGUGGAAAUACUUCCAAAGAGUUGGGAAAUAGCUGCCACCCUGAGCCCUGCAAAUGCCAUUUACCACCCCCAUCCUUCCCCCUGGUUCCCUGCAUCUCCACACAACUCCAGCAACUAAGAGGUUAAUACCACUGGCCCUCCUGGAACACUGCACCAAGACUAUGGCUAGCACCUCUUCUGAUUGGUCAGUGCCGCACCAGUUUAAAUACUACAUUUAUUGUCACAUUCAUAUAUAUGAGUAGGGAAGUAGACCUUUCUGUUUGAUUCAAUACAGUAUUCUCAAUGUCUCCUUGACAUAUAGCAGAUUUUUAAAUAAUUGCUGAAACAGAAAAAAAAUGUAUUUAUGCUUAUGGUUUCCAAGAAGUAAGAUCCAAAGCAGGAGAAUCAUUUGAUCAAUCAGGAUUUGGAAACUGCUUGAUGACCCACAGGAGCAGGAAUGGCAUAAGAAUUAAGAGGAUCCCUGUAUAAUACAUUUUUAUGCACAGCCGAAUUUGCUUCCCCCGCCCCCAGGAAGGGUUAAGUGAGGAUUGGGUUUCAGGUCCCAAAUUGCCUCAUUAGUGACCAAAUACUAGACCUGGAGGUAGAAAGAAGCUGCUCUUCUGCCAAGCCCAACAAGGUGUGGAAACCUGUGGGAAGGCUCUGAGAUGAUGACAGAGCCUUGCAGAGGAGUGUUGCGUGGUCUUCUGGGAUGGUGAGGCGGAGGCCCCCGUAAGAUGAGCCAGAAAGCCUAAGAGGUCAGAGCUGUUCCUUUCUGACAGCUGGGCCUUCAUGCACACACAAGCACACACUGAUAGAGCUACUCUCAGGUAAAGCUCCCCGACACAAUCAUGGGCACUGUCGUCAGCAGGCCUCUUCUGUCGGGCUAAGAGACAGACCAGAGAUGCUCAUGUCACAUCACCUCCGCAGAGUCCAAACAAUUCAGUGUGCAUUCUCAAGAAUUCCUUAACACUUCCUUGCCUUUCCUUAAUAUCCACCUGUGAAUGUCUGAACUUAUGAAGCUAUUCCAAGCUUAUGCCAUCAGUUAUUUUUUAUUUUUACUCUGUGAGAUAUAAUUCGUUUGUUCCAAAUUUGUCUAUUUCAGUGCUCAACAACUACCUGCUAAACCUCACAUUUUAUAACCUGGUGAUUAUUUAGUUAAACGCUCACAUCCCAAAUGUCUCUUGUCUUUAUGUAAUCAUCCCCAGAUGAACAUAGCUUUUCAAGAGGUCCCGUGUGCUUGGAUCUGCGAGGACCCGGAUGCUAACUGUGAGCUACCUCUUGGGUCCAUUACUCUUCUCCAUCACACCAAAGACGUUCUGUAUUUUCUCCCUCACGACAGCAAAAUAAUUGCGGUGGAACAAGAUGGCGCUCUGCCUUCUCGUCUACCUCCUGUGCCAUAAACAAGUCUCCAGGUUUUGGUUCAUUUAAUGCCAUGUGUUUUGCAUUUUUGUUCUCUGUUGAUUUCUCUGUUUAAAAUGGCUCCCAGCGCAGCACUCAAGUGCUGUCUGGUAUUCCUAAACUCAAGAAGGCUGCGAUGUUCCUUAUGGAAGAAAUAAAUGGGCUCGAUGAGCUCCGUUCAGACA